GACGAACGCUGGCGGCGUGCUUAACACAUGCAAGUCGAACGGAAAGGCCCUGCUUUUGUGGGGUGCUCGAGUGGCGAACGGGUGAGUAACACGUGAGUAACCUGCCCUUGACUUUGGGAUAACUUCAGGAAACUGGGGCUAAUACCGGAUAGGAGCUCCUGCUGCAUGGUGGGGGUUGGAAAGUUUCGGCGGUUGGGGAUGGACUCGCGGCUUAUCAGUUUGUUGGUGGGGUAGUGGCUUACCAAGGCUUUGACGGGUAGCCGGCCUGAGAGGGUGACCGGCCACCUUGGGACUGAGAUACGGCCCAGACUCCUACGGGAGGCAGCAGUGGGGAAUAUUGCACAAUGGGCGGAAGCCUGAUGCAGCAACGCCGCGUGCGGGAUGACGGCCUUCGGGUUGUAAACCGCUUUCGCCUGUGACGAAGCGUGAGUGACGGUAAUGGGUAAAGAAGCACCGGCUAACUACGUGCCAGCAGCCGCGGUGAUACGUAGGGUGCGAGCGUUGUCCGGAUUUAUUGGGCGUAAAGGGCUCGUAGGUGGUUGAUCGCGUCGGAAGUGUAAUCUUGGGGCUUAACCCUGAGCGUGCUUUCGAUACGGGUUGACUUGAGGAAGGUAGGGGAGAAUGGAAUUCCUGGUGGAGCGGUGGAAUGCGCAGAUAUCAGGAGGAACACCAGUGGCGAAGGCGGUUCUCUGGGCCUUUCCUGGCGCUGAGGAGCGAAAGCGUGGGGAGCGAACAGGCUUAGAUACCCUGGUAGUCCACGCUGUAAACGGUGGGUACUAGGUGUGGGGUCCAUUCCACGGGUUCCGUGCCGUAGCUAACGCUUUAAGUACCCCGCCUGGGGAGUACGGCCGCAAGGCUAAAACUCAAAGGAAUUGACGGGGCCCCGCACAAGCGGCGGAGCAUGCGGAUUAAUUCGAUGCAACGCGUAGAACCUUACCUGGGUUUGACAUGGAUCGGGAGUGCUCAGAGAUGGGUGUGCCUCUUUUGGGGUCGGUUCACAGGUGGUGCAUGGCUGUCGUCAGCUCGUGUCGUGAGAUGUUGGGUUAAGUCCCGCAACGAGCGCAACCCUUGUUCACUGUUGCCAGCACGUUAUGGUGGGGACUCAGUGGAGACCGCCGGGGUCAACUCGGAGGAAGGUGGGGAUGACGUCAAGUCAUCAUGCCCCUUAUGUCCAGGGCUUCACGCAUGCUACAAUGGCUGGUACAGAGAGUGGCGAGCCUGUGAGGGUGAGCGAAUCUCGGAAAGCCGGUCUCAGUUCGGAUUGGGGUCUGCAACUCGACCUCAUGAAGUCGGAGUCGCUAGUAAUCGCAGAUCAGCAACGCUGCGGUGAAUACGUUCCCGGGGCU
RNAcentral lists this ribosomal RNA (1346 nucleotides) under uncultured bacterium. RNAcentral's name for it is "partial 16S ribosomal RNA". It matches the Rfam family "Bacterial small subunit ribosomal RNA", at positions 28 to 1381 of the family's 1533-position model. The record is from RNAcentral.